GAUGAACGCUGGCGGCGUGCCUAAUACAUGCAAGUCGAGCGAACGGACGAGAAGCUUGCUUCUCUGAUGUUAGCGGCGGACGGGUGAGUAACACGUGGAUAACCUACCUAUAAGACUGGGAUAACUUCGGGAAACCGGAGCUAAUACCGGAUAAUAUUUUGAACCGCAUGGUUCAAAAGUGAAAGACGGUCUUGCUGUCACUUAUAGAUGGAUCCGCGCUGCAUUAGCUAGUUGAUAAGGUAACGGCUUACCAAGGCAACGAUGCAUAGCCGACCUGAGAGGGUGAUCGGCCACACUGGAACUGAGACACGGUCCAGACUCCUACGGGAGGCAGCAGUAGGGAAUCUUCCGCAAUGGGCGAAAGCCUGACGGAGCAACGCCGCGUGAGUGAUGAAGGUCUUCGGAUCGUAAAACUCUGUUAUUAGGGAAGAACAUAUGUGUAAGUAACUGUGCACAUCUUGACGGUACCUAAUCAGAAAGCCACGGCUAACUACGUG
This 497-nucleotide ribosomal RNA is filed under the name uncultured bacterium. RNAcentral's name for it is "partial 16S ribosomal RNA". It matches the Rfam family "Bacterial small subunit ribosomal RNA", at positions 28 to 507 of the family's 1533-position model. The record is from RNAcentral.